AUUCGAUGAUGACAAAUCCGGAGGCUUGUUUCUCUAAACAUUCUCAGUGACCGCCUGAGAGCUUUCGCCUUCGCCAGGCCUGAGGGCUUUCUCCUUCGCCAGGCCUGAGGGCUUUCUCCUUCGCCAGGCCUGAGGGCUUUCUCCUUCGCCAGGCCUGAGGGCUUCCUUGGAUGUCUGAGUCU
RNAcentral lists this small nucleolar RNA (182 nucleotides) under Phaseolus vulgaris (common bean). RNAcentral describes it as "snoRNA SNORD14". The record is from RNAcentral. Lineage: Eukaryota; Viridiplantae; Streptophyta; Magnoliopsida; Fabales; Fabaceae.